This 455-nucleotide ribosomal RNA is filed under the name uncultured Leptolinea sp. RNAcentral describes it as "bacterial SSU rRNA". It matches the Rfam family "Bacterial small subunit ribosomal RNA", at positions 917 to 1381 of the family's 1533-position model. Lineage: Bacteria; Bacillati; Chloroflexota; Anaerolineae; Anaerolineales; Anaerolineaceae. The record is from RNAcentral.
UUGACGGGCCCGCACAAGCAGCGGAGCGUGUGGUUAAUUCGAUGCUACACGAAGAACCUUACCAGGGUUUGACAUGCAAGUGGUAGGAAACCGAAAGGUGACCGACCCUUCGGGGAGCUUGCACAGGUGCUGCAUGGCUGUCGUCAGCUCGUGUCGUGAGAUGUUCGGUUAAGUCCGCUAACGAGCGCAACCCUCGCUGUGUGUUAUAUGUGUCACACGGGACUGCCGGUCUUAAGCCGGAGGAAGGUGGGGAUGAUGUCAAGUCAGCAUGGCCUUUAUAUCCUGGGCUACACACACGCUACAAUGGCCAACACAAUAGGUUGCUAAGCCGCGAGGUGGCGCCAAUCCAUAAAGUUGGUCUCAGUUCAGAUUGUAGGCUGCAACCCGCCUGCAUGAAGAUGGAGUUGCUAGUAAUCGCGGAUCAGCACGCCGCGGUGAAUACGUUCCCGGGCCUU